RNAcentral lists this ribosomal RNA (440 nucleotides) under uncultured bacterium. RNAcentral describes it as "partial 16S ribosomal RNA". It matches the Rfam family "Bacterial small subunit ribosomal RNA", at positions 338 to 795 of the family's 1533-position model. The record is from RNAcentral.
CCUACGGGAGGCUGCAGUAGGGAAUAUUGCUCAAUGGGGGAAACCCUGAAGCAGCAACGCCGCGUGGAGGAUGAAGGUUUUCGGAUUGUAAACUUCUUUUGUUAUAGAAGAUAAUGACGGUAUCUAACGAAUAAGCACCGGCUCAAUCCGUGCCAGCAGCCGCGGUAAUACGGUGGGUGCCAGCGUUACUCGGAAUCACUGGGCGUAAAGAGCGAGUAGGCGGGAUAGCAAGUCAGAUGUGAAAUCCUCGGGCUUAACCCUAGAACUGCAUUUGAAACUGUUAUUCUAGAGUAUGGGAGAGGUAGGUGGAAUUCUUGGUGUAGUGGUGAAAUCCGUAGAGAUCUAGAGGAAUACUCAUUGCGAAGGCGACCUGCUAGAACAUAACUGACGCUGAGGCGCGAAAGCGUGGGGAGCAAACAGGAUUAGAUACCCCAGUAGUC